Long non-coding RNA from Triticum aestivum (bread wheat), 526 nucleotides. RefSeq lists it as uncharacterized. The transcript has 3 exons. NCBI's taxonomy places the organism in Eukaryota, Viridiplantae, Streptophyta, Magnoliopsida, Poales, Poaceae. The record is from RefSeq and is a predicted model, not a curated record.
AUUGCUUGGUUCCAACCUGCUAAAAAAAACUGCUCCUGCGAUGAGCCUGCCGUCGGCCAUCUCCUAGAUCUUCUAUCAAAUCUCUCUGUCGAUAACGGAAGAGGACAGUAAAGCGCUAUUGUCGAUCCAACAGCGUAAUCUUGCCGGCCGAGCGCACUGAUGAGCAACCAAACGGGCAAAAAGACUCGAGCAAACGAUGACGCUGUGAUGGCCGCUGUUGAUCUAUGUUGCCGGCUUGCCAUAAGCGCACCAUCUUCCAUGGCAGCAAUGGAUCUUUUCUUGAGGGAUAAACAAGCAAACUAAAUCUGCGCGACGAGCGAGCGAGCGAGCGAGAUCGAUCAUUGUGCAACGACCGGCAGCAGGAUAUAAUCUUAACGUGCCUACCUGAACUCAAAAAACAAUGCAAGCUGGUGGAGCGCAGGGCUGCAAGGUGCAGGCGCAAUGUGCAUUGUCAAAUCAGAAGCGGGACCGUUGGGGGAAAACAAAUCACAAAUAGGACAGAUUCUUGUGCAUGGCACGAUUUACU